Molecule: ribosomal RNA, 492 nt
Filed under: uncultured bacterium
Lineage: Bacteria
Description: partial 16S ribosomal RNA
Rfam family: Bacterial small subunit ribosomal RNA
Source: RNAcentral
AGUGAACGCUGGCGGUAGGCCUAACACAUGCAAGUCGAACGGCAGCACAGUAAGAGCUUGCUCUUACGGGUGGCGAGUGGCGGACGGGUGAGGAAUACAUCGGAAUCUACUUUUUCGUGGGGGAUAACGUAGGGAAACUUACGCUAAUACCGCAUACGACCUACGGGUGAAAGCAGGGGAUCUUCGGACCUUGCGCGAUUGAAUGAGCCGAUGUCGGAUUAGCUAGUUGGCGGGGUAAAGGCCCACCAAGGCGACGAUCCGUAGCUGGUCUGAGAGGAUGAUCAGCCACACUGGAACUGAGACACGGUCCAGACUCCUACGGGAGGCAGCAGUGGGGAAUAUUGGUCAAUGGGCGCAAGCCUGAUCCAGCCAUACCGCGUGGGUGAAGAAGGCCUUCGGGUUGUAAAGCCCUUUUGUUGGGAAAGAAAAGCGGCAGGUUAAUACCCCGCUGUUCUGACGGUACCCAAAGAAUAAGCACCGGCUAACUUCGUG